This 68-nucleotide transfer RNA is filed under the name Marmota monax (woodchuck). Its description in RNAcentral is "tRNA.Ala". The record is from RNAcentral. Lineage: Eukaryota; Metazoa; Chordata; Mammalia; Rodentia; Sciuridae.
GGAUUGUGGCUCAACGGUAGAGCACUUGCCUAGCAUGUGCGGGGCCCUGGGUUCAAUCCUCAGCACCA